UUCUCGGUUGUAUAGUGGUCAGCAGAUCCGCCUGUCACGUGGAAGGCCCGGGUUCGAUGCCCGGCCGAGGAG
Molecule: transfer RNA, 72 nt
Filed under: Opisthorchis viverrini
Lineage: Eukaryota; Metazoa; Platyhelminthes; Trematoda; Opisthorchiida; Opisthorchiidae
Rfam family: tRNA
About the family: Transfer RNA (tRNA) molecules are approximately 80 nucleotides in length.
Source: Rfam by way of RNAcentral